Molecule: ribosomal RNA, 271 nt
Filed under: uncultured archaeon
Lineage: Archaea
Description: partial 16S ribosomal RNA
Rfam family: Archaeal small subunit ribosomal RNA
Source: RNAcentral
CAGCGCCACGAGUGGUAACCACGUUUAUUGGGCCUAAAGCGUCCGUAGCCGGUUUGAUAAAUCUUUUGUGAAAUUGUACAGCUUAACUGUACAGCGUGCAAGAGACACUGUCAAACUUGAGACCGGGAGGAGUCAGAAGUAUUCCAGAGGGAGCGGUAAAAUGUUAUAAUCUCUGGAGGACUACCUGUGGCGAAGGCGUCUGACCAGAACGGAUCUGACGGUGAGGGACGAAAGCUAGGGGAGCGAACCGGAUUAGAUACCCGAGCAGUCC